Molecule: ribosomal RNA, 417 nt
Filed under: Plantibacter sp. R10.26
Lineage: Bacteria; Bacillati; Actinomycetota; Actinomycetes; Micrococcales; Microbacteriaceae
Description: bacterial SSU rRNA
Rfam family: Bacterial small subunit ribosomal RNA
Source: RNAcentral
CUGGGUGGAUUAGUGGCGAACGGGUGAGUAACACGUGAGUAACCUGCCCUUGACUCUGGGAUAAGCGUUGGAAACGACGUCUAAUACCGGAUACGAGCUUCCACCGCAUGGUGAGUUGCUGGAAAGAAUUUUGGUCAAGGAUGGACUCGCGGCCUAUCAGCUUGUUGGUGAGGUAACGGCUCACCAAGGCGACGACGGGUAGCCGGCCUGAGAGGGUGACCGGCCACACUGGGACUGAGACACGGCCCAGACUCCUACGGGAGGCAGCAGUGGGGAAUAUUGCACAAUGGGCGAAAGCCUGAUGCAGCAACGCCGCGUGAGGGACGACGGCCUUCGGGUUGUAAACCUCUUUUAGCAGGGAAGAAGCGAAAGUGACGGUACCUGCAGAAAAAGCACCGGCUAACUACGUGCCAGCAG